GACGAACGCUGGCGGCGUGCCUAAUACAUGCAAGUCGAGCGGACGGAUGGGAGCUUGCUCCCAGCCCGUCAGCGGCGGACGGGUGAGUAACACGUGGGCAACCUGCCUGUAAGACUGGGAUAACUCCGGGAAACCGGGGCUAAUACCGGAUAACUCUUUCCCUCACAUGAGGGAAAGCUGAAAGAUGGCAUCUCGCUAUCACUUACAGAUGGGCCCGCGGCGCAUUAGCUAGUUGGUGAGGUAACGGCUCACCAAGGCGACGAUGCGUAGCCGACCUGAGAGGGUGAUCGGCCACACUGGGACUGAGACACGGCCCAGACUCCUACGGGAGGCAGCAGUAGGGAACCUUCCGCAAUGGACGAAAGUCUGACGGAGCAACGCCGCGUGAGUGAUGAAGGUUUUCGGAUCGUAAAACUCUGUUGUCAGGGAAGAACAAGUACCGGAGUAACUGCCGGUACCUUGACGGUACCUGACCAGAAAGCCACGGCUAACUACGUG
This 498-nucleotide ribosomal RNA is filed under the name uncultured bacterium. Its description in RNAcentral is "partial 16S ribosomal RNA". It matches the Rfam family "Bacterial small subunit ribosomal RNA", at positions 28 to 507 of the family's 1533-position model. The record is from RNAcentral.